CAGUCGAACGAAAAGACGGAAAGAGCUUGCUCUUUUCAGAAUUGAGUGGCAAACGGCUGUAAAACACGUAAACAACCUGCCUUCAGGAUGGGGACAACAGACGGAAACGACUGCUAACACCGAAUAAGUUCCAAGAGCCGCAUGGCCCAUGGAAGAAAAGGUGGCCUCUACCUGUAAGCUAUCGCCUGAAGAGGGGUUUGCGUCUGAUUAGCUGGUUGGAGGGGUAACGGCCCACCAAGGCGACGAUCAGUAGCCGGUCUGAGAGGAUGAACGGCCACACUGGAACUGAGACACGGUCCAGACUCCUACGGGAGGCAGCAGUGGGGAAUCUUCCGCAAUGGGCGAAAGCCUGACGGAGCAACGCCGCGUGAGUGAUGACGGCCUUCGGGUUGUAAAACUCUGUGAUCCGGGACGAAAAGGCAGAGUGCGAAGAACAAACUGCAUUGACGGUACCGGAAAAGCAAGCCACGGCUAACUACGUGCCAGCAGCCGCGGUAAUACGUAGGUGGCAAGCGUUGUCCGGAAUUAUUGGGCGUAAAGCGCGCGCAGGCGGCUUCCCAAGUCCCUCUUAAAAGUGCGGGGCUUAACCCCGUGAUGGGAAGGAAACUGGGAAGCUGGAGUAUCGGAGAGGAAAGUGGAAUUCCUAGUGUAGCGGUGAAAUGCGUAGAGAUUAGGAAGAACACCGGUGGCGAAGGCGACUUUCUGGACGAAAACUGACGCUGAGGCGCGAAAGCGUGGGGAGCAAACAGGAUUAGAUACCCUGGUA
Molecule: ribosomal RNA, 766 nt
Filed under: uncultured bacterium
Lineage: Bacteria
Description: bacterial SSU rRNA
Rfam family: Bacterial small subunit ribosomal RNA
Source: RNAcentral